RNAcentral lists this ribosomal RNA (619 nucleotides) under Phialocephala sp. Its description in RNAcentral is "partial large subunit ribosomal RNA". It matches the Rfam family "Eukaryotic large subunit ribosomal RNA", at positions 25 to 664 of the family's 3401-position model. Lineage: Eukaryota; Fungi; Ascomycota; Leotiomycetes; Helotiales; Mollisiaceae. The record is from RNAcentral.
CCGCUNGAACUUAAGCAUAUCAAUAAGCGGAGGAAAAGAAACCAACAGGGAUUACCUCAGUAACGGCGAGUGAAGCGGUAACAGCUCAAAUUUGAAAGCUGCCAACAGGCCGCGUUGUAAUUUGUAGAAGCUGCUUUGGGUGUCGGCCCGGUCUAAGUUCCUUGGAACAGGACGUCAUAGAGGGUGAGAAUCCCGUAUGUGAUCGGUGCCGUUACCCGUGUAAAGCGCUUUCGACGAGUCGAGUUGUUUGGGAAUGCAGCUCAAAAUGGGUGGUAAAUUUCAUCUAAAGCUAAAUAUUGGCCAGAGACCGAUAGCGCACAAGUAGAGUGAUCGAAAGAUGAAAAGCACUUUGGAAAGAGAGUUAAACAGUACGUGAAAUUGUUGAAAGGGAAGCGCUUGCAACCAGACUUGCGGGCGGUCGAUCAUCCGAGGUUCUCCCCGGUGCACUCGAUCGUUCUCAGGCCAGCAUCGGUUUCCGGGGUGGGAUAAAGGCGGUGGGAAUGUGGCUCUUCGGAGUGUUAUAGCCCAUCGUGCAAUGCCGCCACCGGGGACCGAGGACCGCGCUUCGGCUAGGAUGCUGGCGUAAUGGUUGUAAGCGACCCGUCUGNAAAACACGGAA